CAGUGGAAGAAGAAAUGGCAGAGAUUGACAAUGGCUAUGGCAUGAGCAAAGCUUGCCUUGCUGGCAACAGUAGCCCCAUAGCUAUAUCCCCUCCUAUCGGCCUCCUCCUACACCAGGGUUAUCUUGGUGGGCCUAUGUAGAAGAUAAGGCCCAGAGAAAAAGGGCUAUCCUGAGUCUGAAGUUUGGUCUCAGGCACAGCAUUGCCACUAACUGGGACAUAAUGGAGAUGAUCAGGAACCACACCUCCUACAUGGGCUGUGUAUGACUCCUGAGGAACACCUGGCACUUCUGACUGAGGCUCCCCGGAACCCCUAGGCUUACAGACUGAAGAUGAUCCUGGGACUGUUUGAAGCCUUUAACACCCAUCCACGUAUGUGCCAUUCAGGCAGUGCUGUCUCUGUAUGCCCUUGGUACCCCUAGGAUCUAUGCAUGUGACCACAUUUGUGUUCUCAUGCAUGCACGCAUGUGCACUCGUCAUGGAUUCUGGUAACGGGGUCACACAUACAGUGUCCAUCUACGAGAGCUAUGUCUUUCCCAAAGCCACCUUGCAUCUGGACCUGGCUGGCUUGGACCUGGCGGACUACAUCAUGAAAAUUCUGCCUGAGCAGGGUUACAGCUUCACCACCAUAGCUGAGUCAGGGAGUGUGUGAAACAUUAAGGAGAAGUAACUAUGCCAUGUUGCAUUAGAUUUUGAGCAAGAUAUGGCCACUGCUACAUCCUCUUUCUCCUUGGAGAA
This 736-nucleotide long non-coding RNA is filed under the name Mus musculus (house mouse). RNAcentral describes it as "long non-coding RNA chr11:35996053-35996789". The record is from RNAcentral. Lineage: Eukaryota; Metazoa; Chordata; Mammalia; Rodentia; Muridae.